RNAcentral lists this precursor RNA (1360 nucleotides) under Zea mays. Its description in RNAcentral is "precursor miRNA zma-miR166k/m". The stretch from base 140 to 266 matches the Rfam family "mir-166 microRNA precursor family". The record is from RNAcentral. Lineage: Eukaryota; Viridiplantae; Streptophyta; Magnoliopsida; Poales; Poaceae.
AUAAGCACCUCCUCCUAUAUAUCUUCCGCCGUGCAUCCUGCAGCUUUGCUCUCUCUACCUAGUUUCUCCUCUCUAUAAUAUAUACGCUCAUCAGAUCCACUCCAUCAUCGUCUUGCUGCUCAGCUCCUUGGUCUGGGGGUUUGUGGGGAAUGUUGGCUGGCUCGAGGCAUCCGCGUCCUGGCUCGCAGUCGCAGCGCAGAUCGUGUUUUGCCUGCUACCGGCCGGACAGAUCGAGAGGCGUCGGACCAGGCUUCAUUCCUCGCAAACCGGUGCAUCCCCACGUACGGUGUCUCUUUGUUCAUGAUGACUCUAGUAGGUAGCUAGUGGCACAUAGGGAGGGAGAAGGAGGCCAGAUUAUUUCAUGUCGUAGGUGCUUCAUGCAUGCAUGCUCGGGUUAGGUCAGGGGGAUUGUUGUCUGGCUCGGGGUCUCCGGUCGAGAUCGAUUCAUAACAUAUACGUACGUGCUUCUAGCCUUGCCGGCGGAGCUAGUCGUUGUCGUCGACCGGAGAUUUCGGACCAGGCUUCAAUCCCUUUGACCAUGCGGCAUUAGGGGCACUUGGAUUGGAUCUCGGCAGUGUCAGCUGCAUGCCGAAGAAGCACAUCAUAUCGGCCGGUAAGGUAACCUAUCUUUCACAGCUCCAGAUAUUCCGCUUUAUUUUUAUGUCCUGAUGCAGAUACAUAAGAUGAGAUGUGGAGGCUGCAUGCCGAAGUUGCAACGCGGAAGUCGUUUUGCUGGCUCGGUCAGUGACGACGUAGCAGCGACUAGGUUAGUGGUGUUUACAUGCAUGUUGCUGCAUGAUUAUGCAAUCAUUUCAGAGCGGCCAUCGGGGCAGCAAAGGCUUCGUCGCGCGGCCGUGCGGUUGGCAGGUGCAAACUUCUUUUCCCAUGUCGUUUCCAGCAAACAGUGCUCUGGACAUCCAGUACGGGUCCUUCUUGAGUGUGACAGGAGAGAAAAGAGUGGAGGCCAAACUGACAGACAGUGAGGCGUCGUUGAGGCCCGCCUCUACGCCGUACCCCUUUCAAUGCGUGCGACAACUUGCUCAGGCCCAGAGCAGCACAGCUAGCGUAUCGAUCUCACCUCUCGGCCCGUACGGCGAUCUCGUAUGUGCUCGCUCGCACCCGGCACACUACGUACAAACAUGCAUGGAGUCAUGCAGAUGGUGCCGUGUACGGGUGUGCCUGGAAUUGCUUCUGUCUCCUCCUCCGAUCCAUUGCUCCUGCUGCUAGAAAUGGCAGAUAUAACUAAACGAACGUGCUCUAGAAAUAAUGAAGCUCCCAUCGUCGAUAGAUUGUUCGUUCAUGUGUUCGUGUUCUUAUUUUCUUGCUGCGUCCAAAAUGAUGAUUUAGACCGACUCGAUCG